RNAcentral lists this ribosomal RNA (273 nucleotides) under uncultured bacterium. RNAcentral's name for it is "partial 16S ribosomal RNA". It matches the Rfam family "Bacterial small subunit ribosomal RNA", at positions 524 to 796 of the family's 1533-position model. The record is from RNAcentral.
GACAGAGGGUGCAAACGUUGUUCGGAAUCACUGGGCGUAAAGCGCGUGUAGGCGGCCAGACAAGUCGGGUGUGAAAGCCCACGGCUCAACCGUGGAAGUGCACUCGAAACUGCUUGGCUAGAGUCCUGGAGAGGAAGGUGGAAUACUCGGUGUAGAGGUGAAAUUCGUAGAUAUCGAGUGGAACACCGGUGGCGAAGGCGGCCUUCUGGACAGUGACUGACGCUGAGACGCGAAAGCGUGGGGAGCAAACAGGAUUAGAUACCCCCGUAGUCC